CCUACGGUGGGCAGCAGUGAGGAAUAUUGGUCAAUGGGCGCGAGCCUGAACCAGCCAAGUAGCGUGAAGGAUGACUGCCCUACGGGUUGUAAACUUCUUUUAUAAAGGAAUAAAGUGAGGCUCGUGUGCCUUUUUGUAUGUACUUUAUGAAUAAGGAUCGGCUAACUCCGGGCCAGCAGCCGCGGUAAUACGGAGGAUCCGCGCGUUAUCCGGAUUUAUUGGGUUUAAAGGGCGCGUAGAUGGGUUGUUAAGUCAGGUGUGAAAGUUUGCGGCUCAACCGUAAAAGUGCAAUUGAUACUGGCAGCCUUGAGUACAGUAGAGGUAGGCGGAAUGCGUGGUGUAGCGGUGAAAUGCCUAGAUAUCACGAAGAACUCCGAUUGCGAAGGCAGCUUACUAAACUGCCACUGACAUUGAUGCUCGAAAGUGUGGGUAUCAAACAGGAUUAGAUACCCGUGUAGUC
RNAcentral lists this ribosomal RNA (460 nucleotides) under uncultured bacterium. RNAcentral's name for it is "partial 16S ribosomal RNA". It matches the Rfam family "Bacterial small subunit ribosomal RNA", at positions 338 to 795 of the family's 1533-position model. The record is from RNAcentral.